RNAcentral lists this ribosomal RNA (253 nucleotides) under uncultured bacterium. RNAcentral describes it as "partial 16S ribosomal RNA". It matches the Rfam family "Bacterial small subunit ribosomal RNA", at positions 524 to 776 of the family's 1533-position model. The record is from RNAcentral.
UACGGAUGAGGCAAGCGUUCUCCGGAAUUAUUGGGCGUAAAGCGUCCGUAGGUGGUUGACCAAGUCUGCUGUCAAAGGGUGGGGCUUAACCUCAUAAAGGCAGUGGAAACUGGUGAGCUAGAGUGCGGUAGGGGUAAGGGGAAGUCCCAGUGUAGCGGUGAAAUGCGUAGAGAUUGGGAAGAACAUCGGUGGCGAAAGCGCCGUGCUGGGCCUGCACUGACACUGAGGGACGAAAGCUAGGGGAGCGAAAGGG